AGCCGUUUGUUGAAUGCCAUUUCCGUAAUCAUGGGAUGUUCUGAAUAGAAGACUCGCCACCAUCAUGUGAAGCUACAUUAUUCAAAGAGGGCCACAUGCCUCAAGCCACUUGAUUGUGUUGUCACAAUGAACAGAAGAAUCACCAUGUAUCCUAGUUGACUUGUACAACUACGCGUCGACCAGAAGAUCUUCCAGUGUGAUGCCAACCUAAACAGGUAAGAAACAACUUAUAGAAGCUGCUGGAUGUAAUGAGAUAGUCAUUUAAAGAAAUACCUUGGAUUUAUAUAGCUACUAAAAGCAUUAGCAAUGAAUCUUUGCAAUAAUUGAUUUCAGAGAAGUAAAACAUUAUAAAAAGCUAACAAAUCACAUGUCAAUUAAUGUGUUUUGUUUUAAAAAAUCUUAACAUAAAAGGAAGACAACAUGUGUUCACAGAUGAGAGCCAUGUUACAAAAAAGAAUUCUGCUGACUUAGGUCAAAGCUCAAACGAUAACUUGAAAGCGAGUAUACAUGUUCCUGAUUCUAGUUUCCAGCUGUUUCUAUAAAAUCUGUGCCACAAGUAGAUCGAGUCUUACAACAUUGAUAUUAUUUUCGUUUCUUCGUCUGUAGGGUGUAGAGCUUGUGCACAAGCAGACCCACAAAAGCAUGGUAUGUCAAAACUCCUAUAAACAUAUUGAGAUUGCAGUUCUAGGAAAAAUAGUAAGGGGUGCAACGCUGACCUGCACUCCAUGUGGCGAGGAUGAAGAAGGGUUUACUUUUUGGACAGGUAACAGAAGCAUUGCAUCGCUACAGAGCUGUUGGUUGUGCUCUGCUCUACGGAGGAUGCAAAGGGGUUUGCACCAGGUAGAGGUAGUCACGUUGUGCACUGCCCUGUGGAUUGCAGAAGAUUCCUCUCUAUUAACCCCUCUCUCUCUCUCUCUCUUCGUGUGUUUAAUUCCUCCUUCGAACUCCUUUCU
This 953-nucleotide long non-coding RNA is filed under the name Triticum aestivum (bread wheat). Its description in RNAcentral is "long non-coding RNA (TAES_LNC023079)". The record is from RNAcentral. Lineage: Eukaryota; Viridiplantae; Streptophyta; Magnoliopsida; Poales; Poaceae.